Brassica oleracea var. oleracea is the source of this 687-nucleotide long non-coding RNA. RefSeq lists it as uncharacterized. The transcript is spliced from 3 exons. The record is from RefSeq and is a predicted model, not a curated record. Lineage: Eukaryota; Viridiplantae; Streptophyta; Magnoliopsida; Brassicales; Brassicaceae.
AUUUAAGCAUCCAAAAUUGUCAAGAAAAUCCAACAACAAAUGUCACAAGAAGUGGUGUACCAAGUGAGAUGGGUUCUGCUUUGGUUCAUGGAUUUACUGCCUAUUUUGAAGCUAUAAUACUCUAUGAUAAACUGAGUAUUAGCACUGUGCCUAGAAAAGCAACAUAAAACAUGUUCGGCUGGUUGCCAAUGUAUUUUCCAUUGAGGAAGCCUGUUGAAAUUUACUCUCUAACGAUCGAGUAGAAGCAAUGAUCUGGAGAUGUAGCGAUUCCAAAAAGGUAAAUAAAGAGAGAGCAAAAAUGUGAGUCAACUGAACAAAGCAUUCAUACAUUUUGGUGGUGGCGGUGGACAGGUUUGGUAAAAAUUUGUAUCAACUGGAUGAGCCUUUAGGAUACUGUCUUAGAGCACAAUGGACGGAAAUUUGUUAGUAGAAUCAAAAACAAAAGGGUUAUAAAGAGAAGUGGUUGUACAUAGAAUAAUAAUACAAACCCUUGAACAAAAAAAAAAACAUAGAAUAAUAAUACAAUGUAAGCGAAAAUGGUAUGGUAUGAUUGAUUGUUGAGAACGAGUUGUGUUGUGUUGUUUAGAAGAGAAAACGCGUGGCAGUAAUGAUGAAUAAACGUAGGAAGGAAGUGGACGGAUACAACUUAACACGUAUUGAUCAUAGAAAGUGGUGGUUGUAAUCACA